This 253-nucleotide ribosomal RNA is filed under the name uncultured bacterium. Its description in RNAcentral is "partial 16S ribosomal RNA". It matches the Rfam family "Bacterial small subunit ribosomal RNA", at positions 524 to 776 of the family's 1533-position model. The record is from RNAcentral.
UACGGGGGGGGUAAGCGUUGUUCGGAAUUACUGGGCGUAAAGGGCGCGUAGGCGGCCUGCUAAGUCGAACGUGAAAUCCCUGGGCUCAACCCAGGAACUGCGUCCGAUACUGGUUGGCUUGAAUCCGGGAGAGGGAUGCGGAAUUCCAGGUGUAGCGGUGAAAUGCGUAGAUAUCUGGAGGAACACCGGUGGCGAAGGCGGCAUCCUGGACCGGCAUUGACGCUGAGGCGCGAAAGCCAGGGGAGCAAACGGG